Long non-coding RNA from Myotis lucifugus (little brown bat), 1886 nucleotides. RefSeq lists it as uncharacterized. The transcript is spliced from 2 exons. Lineage: Eukaryota; Metazoa; Chordata; Mammalia; Chiroptera; Vespertilionidae. The record is from RefSeq and is a predicted model, not a curated record.
GCUCAACUGCUGAGCCACACGGCCGGGUUCUCUAUUACUUCCUAACUAUUUGGGGUUACUAUCUAAAGAGGAUUUAAAAUCAUAUUUUCUGUCCUCUUCCUCUUUUUGUUCAUAGUUGUACAGUCUUUUCUCCAUGUCUAACCUAGGAAACUAUAUAGUCCUCGUAUAUGUGCUUGUCAGCAUUGAUCCCGGCCAGUGCCUUACUGUGUUGGACAACGAUUGGACUUUAGUUUGAGAAGAGGAAAGCUAAAGAUUUAUUUUCAUAUCAAUCCACUAGGGACCUCACAUGUUGUCACAUUUAUUACGGCCCCCAAAUCACUUUAUUCUUAGGCAGUGACUUGUGGAACAUUCAUGUAAAUCUAGUCUCGUCCUUCUCCCCGUGUGUAAGUCCGCGUUCAACCUGGUGGUUUUUGACAGCCCCACUGCUGUUUAAAAGGCAUGGCCCCAUGUGACCGUAUUGUCUUCAACCCGGUCACGUGAGACACUUUACGGUUCUGGGUCUCACAUUUGGUUUGUUUUUCUUUGGAGCUUUACUGGAAACCAAACACUAUUGCGUACAAGCUGCAGAAGCAGGAGGGGAAGUUGGCAAGAAUCAACUGCUUUCUGUUUGGUCUGUCUGAGGCAGCUGACCUUUUGGAAGGAAAUCGCUGCUCUUUGCUUCUUCCUGUAACAGUGCAGCCUGUGAAAGAGCAUCGACACAGAAGCCGUUAUCCUGGCUGAUGUCUCGGGCGAAAGCGCCGUUCGCGUUGCGAUGGGAGUUUCUCUGCGCACCUGCUGUAUGUUGUAGGGACAGUCACUGGCAUUCGUAGUGCUAAGCUGUGUGCCGAUAUCCCAGGAGACACAGAGCCCGAGAGAAUCUGUUUCUAGAAAAAGUAGUUUGUUUUAGCAAAAGCAGCUGUAUUUUCUUGCAAAGUGCCCGUGUUAAUGCUGUGGUAAAAGUUACUUUGUGCACGGGCUUAAUUCUUCUUAAUGUUGAAGGUCCUGAUGUCAUUAUUAUUUCUUAGACUGGGUAACCUUUUUGUCACCAAGAGGCGGAACACGUUGACUUUCUAAGACAAGAAAAGUACAUGAAAUAACAUGACCAACCACCACAAGUCCUCAAGACAAAGGGAGCAUGGUAGAGGGGAGAAGGACAGCCUCGCGGGCCAGACUGCCCAUAUGUUGGCGCCCGCAGAAGUACGGGAUCUGGAGCAAAUACGUCACCUCCAAAAGAAACCUGUCCCCAUCGAAAGUCACUGUUAUCUGUUACCUCAGCCCUUGGCAACCACCGAUCUGCUGUGUCCCUGUGGGCUUUCCUAUUCUGGACAUUUCAUAUAAAUGGAAUUUAUAAUAUGUAGCCUUUUACGUCUGGCUUCUUUUGCUUAGCGUAAUGUUUUCAAAGUUCAUCCAUGUUGUAGUAUGUCAGUACUUUAUUCCUUCAGACAUAAGAAUAAUAUUCCAUUUAAUCCAUUUUAUGUUUCCAUUCAUAUUCAUAUUACUCCUUCUUCUGUUGAUGGACCCUUGGGUUAUUUCUACUUUUUGGCUAUUAUGAAUGCUGCUGCUAUGAACAUCUGUGCACGAGUUUUUGCAGACAUGUUUUCAGUUCUCUUAGGCAUAUAUCUGGGAGUGGAACUGCUAGGUCCUAUGGAAAUUCCUUGUUUAACCUUCUGAAGAAUUGCCAGCUUGCUUUCCAAAGUUGCACCAUUUUACAAUCCUGUUUAAUUUGCCGACUCUCGGUUCUCUCAUCUAUAAAGUGGGGAUUGUAUAGUGCCGACCUCGUAGGGUUUUGUGAGGAUUAAAUGAGUAGGUUCAGAGAAGCGCUUACGGUAAUAAAUCAUAUAGUAGGUGUUCUGUGAGUGGUAACUCUGAUGGUGGGUAAUAACACUAAUAAAUGUUACUUUAAUUCA